This 393-nucleotide long non-coding RNA is filed under the name Gossypium barbadense (sea-island cotton). RNAcentral describes it as "long non-coding RNA (GBAR_LNC002399)". Lineage: Eukaryota; Viridiplantae; Streptophyta; Magnoliopsida; Malvales; Malvaceae. The record is from RNAcentral.
CGCGAGGAGGGGAAUGCUAGCUUAUGUUGAGAAGAUCCAGAGGGAAGAGAGGAACAAUGGGGUGGACACAUUAGCCCAUCAAAAAUGGUCAGGUGCCAACUUUUAUGAUAGAUAUCUCAAGACAGUCCAGGGAGGCAUAUCAUCGACUGCAGCCAUGGGCAAAGGCAAGUCAUAAAGAAAUUAACUCUCCAUUCCUUUUUCCAGGUGAUUACACUUCAAAUUCAGAAAAAUAAAGAAAAAAGAGUAUUGAUACAUGACUUUUGUGCAGGAGUGACAGAGGAGCAAUUCAAGGAAACAUGGACAAGGCCAGGAGCCAUGGAGGUUGCAAAUGAAGGCAAUAUGGUGGUUGCUAAGGCAAGGAUGUAGGAUGAAGCUAAGCUGAUUGGAAAUUGG